UCCCUGGUGGUCUAAUGGUUAGGAUUCAGCACUUUCAUCGCUGUGGACUGGGUUCAAUCUCUGGUCUGGGAA
RNAcentral lists this transfer RNA (72 nucleotides) under Sus scrofa (pig). It matches the Rfam family "tRNA". Rfam says of the family: Transfer RNA (tRNA) molecules are approximately 80 nucleotides in length. Their secondary structure includes four short double-helical elements and three loops (D, anti-codon, and T loops). Further hydrogen bonds mediate the characteristic L-shaped molecular structure. tRNAs have two regions of fundamental functional importance: the anti-codon, which is responsible for specific mRNA codon recognition, and the 3' end, to which the tRNAs corresponding amino acid is attached (by aminoacyl-tRNA synthetases). tRNAs cope with the degeneracy of the genetic code in two manners: having more than one tRNA (with a specific anti-codon) for a particular amino acid; and 'wobble' base-pairing, i.e. permitting non-standard base-pairing at the 3rd anti-codon position. The record is from Rfam by way of RNAcentral. Lineage: Eukaryota; Metazoa; Chordata; Mammalia; Artiodactyla; Suidae.